RNAcentral lists this ribosomal RNA (406 nucleotides) under uncultured bacterium. Its description in RNAcentral is "partial 16S ribosomal RNA". It matches the Rfam family "Bacterial small subunit ribosomal RNA", at positions 30 to 526 of the family's 1533-position model. The record is from RNAcentral.
AUUGAACGCUGGCGGAAGGCCUAACACAUGCAAGUCGAACGAGUAGCGGACGGGUGAGUAAUGUCUUGGAAACUGCCCGAUGGAGGGGGCUAACUACUGGAAACGGUAGCACAUACCGCAUACCAUCGGAUGUGCCACGAGUGGAUUAGCUAGUAGGUGGGGUAACGGCUCACCUAGGAGACGAUCCCUAGCUGGUCUGAGAGGAUGACCAGCCACACUGGAACUUAGACACGGUCCAGACUCCUACGGGAGGCAGCAGUGGGGAAUAUUGCACAAUGGGCGCAAGCCUGAUGCAGCCACGCCGCGUGUAUGAAGAAGGUUUUCGGGUCGUAAAGUACUUUCAGCGAGGAGGCGUUACUCGCAGAAGAAGCAACGGCUAACUCCGUGCCAGCAGCCGCGGUAAUUC